UACGUAAGGGGCAAGCGUUGUCCGGAAUCACUGGGCGUAAAGCGCACGUAGGCGGCUUUGUAAGUUAGAGGUGAAAGCCCGGGGCUCAACCCCGGAAUUGCCUUUAAGACUGCAUCGCUUGAAUCCAGGAGAGGUGAGUGGAAUUCCGAGUGUAGAGGUGAAAUUCGUAGAUAUUCGGAAGAACACCAGUGGCGAAGGCGGCUCACUGGACUGGUAUUGACGCUGAGGUACGAAAGCGUGGGGAGCAAACAGG
Molecule: ribosomal RNA, 253 nt
Filed under: uncultured bacterium
Lineage: Bacteria
Description: partial 16S ribosomal RNA
Rfam family: Bacterial small subunit ribosomal RNA
Source: RNAcentral